GAUGAAGAACGUAGUGAAAUGCGAUAAGUAAUGUGAAUCGCAGAAUUCAGUGAAUCAUCGAAUCUUUGAACGCACCUUGCACCCUUUGGCAUUCCGAAGGGUAUGCUCGUUUGAGUGUCAUUGUACUCUCACUCUCCCGAUACUUUUGGAUCGGGAGUGGUGGACUUGGGUGCUGCUGCUUAACUGUGGCUCGCCUUAAAUGAAGUAGUGCAACUCUCGGUUGGACAUAGUACGGCGUGAUAAGUGUCUUCGCCGGCGCCUCAUUCGAGGGUGGCCGAUCGGGAGCUCUGUGCUUCAAACUGUCUUCGGACAACAUCUGACAACUUGACCUCAAAUCGAGUAGGACUACCCGCUGAACUUAAGCAUAUCAAUAAGCGGAGGA
This 382-nucleotide unclassified non-coding RNA is filed under the name soil metagenome. RNAcentral's name for it is "partial contains 5.8S ribosomal RNA, internal transcribed spacer 2, and large subunit ribosomal RNA". The stretch from base 1 to 120 matches the Rfam family "5.8S ribosomal RNA", at positions 35 to 154 of the family's 154-position model. The record is from RNAcentral.